UACGUAGGGUGCAAGCGUUAAUCGGAAUUACUGGGCGUAAAGCGUGCGCAGGCGGUUGUGCAAGACCGAUGUGAAAUCCCCGGGCUUAACCUGGGAAUGGCAUUGGUGACUGCACGGCUAGAGUGUGUCAGAGGGGGGUAGAAUUCCACGUGUAGCAGUGAAAUGCGUAGAGAUGUGGAGGAAUACCGAUGGCGAAGGCGGCAUCCUGGACCGACACUGACGCUGAGGAGCGAAAGCCAGGGGAGCAAACGGG
RNAcentral lists this ribosomal RNA (253 nucleotides) under uncultured bacterium. RNAcentral describes it as "partial 16S ribosomal RNA". It matches the Rfam family "Bacterial small subunit ribosomal RNA", at positions 524 to 776 of the family's 1533-position model. The record is from RNAcentral.